Molecule: ribosomal RNA, 536 nt
Filed under: uncultured bacterium
Lineage: Bacteria
Description: bacterial SSU rRNA
Rfam family: Bacterial small subunit ribosomal RNA
Source: RNAcentral
CCCUUGGCCUUGACAUACUAAGAACUUUCAGAGAUGGAUUGGUGCCUUCGGGAACUUAGAUACAGGUGCUGCAUGGCUGUCGUCAGCUCGUGGCGUGAGAUGUUGGGUUAAGUCCGCAACGAGCGCAACCCUUUUCCUUAUUUGCCAGCGGGUAAUGCCGGGAACUUUAAGGAUACUGCCAGUGACAAACUGGAGGAAGGCGGGGACGACGUCAAGUCAUCAUGGCCCUUACGGCCAGGGCUACACACGUGCUACAAUGGUCGGUACAAAGGGUUGCUACCUCGCGAGAGGAUGCUAAUCUCAAAAAGCCGAUCGUAGUCCGGAUCGCAGUCUGCAACUCGACUGCGUGAAGUCGGAAUCGCUAGUAAUCGCGGAUCAGAAUGCCGCGGUGAAUACGUUCCCGGGCCUUGUACACACCGCCCGUCACACCAUGGGAGUUUGUUGCACCAGAAGUAGGUAGUCUAACCGCAAGGAGGACGCUUACCACGGUGUGGCCGAUGACUGGGGUGAAGUCGUAACAAGGUAGGCGUAGAUGA